UGUGUACCCCUUCUCACCAUGUAACCUGUGAUCUUGCCCAAAGCUCCUGCAGGGAUUGCUCUGAUUUGGCCUGAUUAUGUCAGACUUCCUGAACAUGAGGAUAAAUCACUAAUGAAGGCUGUAAUGCAGGACUGGGCAGUGGGCUUCUUUGCCAGACUCCAUAUGGACAUUCUGGGGUGGCAAGGUCAAGGAGGAGAUACAGAGACCUUUGAAGAGUUAGGAGACCAUGCUGGGGAACUGCACAUGUCAGAGAGCUGUGGGCAGUCUCUUGAAACUGAUGACAUUCUUGACUGACAGCCAGCAAGAAGCGUGCAGUCUUAUCAGAGGAAGGAAUUGAAUUCUGCCAACAACUUAAGUGAGCUUAGAAGUGAAUCCUUACCCAGACAAUUCCCAGCACCUGUGGCAAGAAUUGGGAUAUGUCGAAUUGGAAGAAGAAAAAAAAAAAAGCAAAAAUAUUAGCAAAAUAGUUUAAAGGAAAAGCUAUGAGAAGAGAUGGAAACAACUUACAAUGAUCCAAAAGGGAGACAUUAAGGCAAGAGGAAAUGUUAAUGUGCUAUAUAUUUGGUGAUCUAGGAUUUACGUCCACACCACUUCUGUUCCCGAGGAUUAGAACAGAGGAGGCUUGGGUCUUGCUGGUGCGGACAUCUCCUAAUUCCAAACAUCUCCUAAAUCCAUCGAGAAGAAAGAAGAUGAGAAGGAACUCACCUUGAUGCUUUGCAGUUAUCAUCUCUGACAGCCUUUCCCCAGAUAGCGGCAUCCAAAAAACCAGAAACAAGGACAGACCACUGAUGGAAGGCCUAUGGUUUGCCAGAUACUCUUCUGCACGAGCAACACACCAGCAGCGGUUUUGAUCCAAAGAUAACAUUAGACAUAGGCAAGGAAACUGUAAAUGUAAUCAUGCGAAGUACAAGAGAAAUGCAAGCAGAAUGAGAUGGCCACCUGGGAAGGCCAAGGACGGAUGUUAAAUAGUCAGAGGAGCUCAACCGAUGACAUAUUUAGAGGACACAUCUACAAUUUAGGGUGCCAGUAAAUUUGAAUAAUCUGGGAAGUGACCCUUUGCCCUUCAGAAUUACUCUUUCCUUCUUCUGCAUCGUGUUAGCACUUUAGGCACGUCUGCUGUGGCCUUUACACAUGCUGCCUUACCCAACCAAGAGCUUUCUUUGUGUUUUUCUUCCCCACUGGUCAAGAGUGGGCCCUUGCUUCUCCAUCUCUGCACAUCCCCAGGGGCAGUUCUACUCUCUGCACACUUGCUGAUGCUCAGGACUAGUGUCAGGCUCCAUGCCACCAGUAGGUGAGACACCUUUUAUUCAUCCUAUUCACUGUGGUUUUCCCACUGAUGGUGUUUGCCUCUCAGCUUCCAUCCUAACUAGGGUAGUUCCUCAACCAUUCUGUAAAUUGGUAAAUCAGUGCCCUGGAGGGGAAUACAUUAGAAGAUAUAAACUCAACCAUCAUUUCUUAGUUCGGGGCCAGUAUUAAUCCUAAUAAGCAUUUCAUCAUAACACACUCCUCAAGCAUAGAGUCUGUUGGUGUGACUGGGAAUCAGAGGGUCCUCACACAGUCCUCGAGAGAAGGAUGAUAAAUAAAGUGACGGACAGAAGACAGAAUGCUCACACCUGGUCCAGGCCCCAGUCCGGUUAAUAUCCUGCCUCGUCUUUCACACCACGCUUUGUACUCCCUAUAGAGACAUGAAACAGCAUAUGAGGGAAAAUGCCUUGGGUCAAAUAAAACAGCAUGGAUAAAAAGUCCUCCUGUGUGUAGACCCAUUCUUCUCUGAACCUUUGCUAUAAAUCCAAAUAAUAGCACCUGCAUCUUUCCAAUGCGAGAGGAAGUUGUGAUGGUCAGGAACCAACUUAAGAGUUUUGACCUCAAGAGGCACUUGCUACUUAGAGUAUUAUUGUCUCACUCAUAUAGUCAACAGUUAUUUCUCAGUAGAUGCUGUUUUGGGGGCAUAGUGCUAGGUGGGCUUUAAGGAGGACACACAGGUUAACGAGACCCUGCCCUUGCCCCCGAGGGGCUUACUCUGAAGCUACUCAGAGGGGGCCACAUGGACUGUGCCUGACCCAGGGGCUGUUUGUGACCCUCCAAAUGAAUAAGAAGGAAAAAGUAAACUUGUAUAGCAAAUAAUGUCAUGUCUGUUGAAUCUGAUAUAAGUCAAAUUGCAUUUUAUGUGUCAUUUUUAAUUCAUUUUCAGUACUAAUUAUGUUAUAUAAAUGUAAGGAUCUACAACAGACUGGAAACUAAAAAACAACUUGUCCUUAACUGUUUGCAGUUUCAGCAGCACUGGUCAAAUGUAUACACAUGACUAAACUAUUAAUAUAAGACAGGCAAGGAUAAAUGUAUGAAAAAGCUGAAAUACUUUAAUGUUAAAGAGGGAGACUUCCUUCGUGGCUCAGAUGGUUAAAGAAUCUGCCUGCAAUGCAGAAGAUCUGGGUUUGAUCCCUU
This is a non-coding RNA of Odocoileus virginianus texanus, 2442 nucleotides long. The record is from RefSeq and is a predicted model, not a curated record. NCBI's taxonomy places the organism in Eukaryota, Metazoa, Chordata, Mammalia, Artiodactyla, Cervidae.